GAUGAACGCUGGCGGCGUGCCUAAUACAUGCAAGUCGAGCGAACGGACGAGAAGCUUGCUUCUCUGAUGUUAGCGGCGGACGGGUGAGUAACACGUAGAUAACCUACCUAUAAGACUGGGAUAACUUCGGGAAACCGGAGCUAAUACCGGAUAAUAUUUUGAACCGCAUGGUUCAAAAGUGAAAGACGGUCUUGCUGCCACUUAUAGAUGGAUCCGCGCUGCAUUAGCUAGUUGGUAAGGUAACGGCUUACCAAGGCAACGAUGCAUAGCCGACCUGAGAGGGUGAUCGGCCACACUGGAACUGAGACACGGUCCAGACUCCUACGGGAGGCAGCAGUAGGGAAUCUUCCGCAAAGGGCGAAAGCCUGACGGAGCAACGCCGCGUGAGUGAUGAAGGUCUUCGGAUCGUAAAACUCUGUUAUUAGGGAAGAACAUAUGUGUAAGUAACUGUGCACAUCUUGACGGUACCUAAUCAGAAAGCCACGGCUAACUACGUG
This 497-nucleotide ribosomal RNA is filed under the name uncultured bacterium. Its description in RNAcentral is "partial 16S ribosomal RNA". It matches the Rfam family "Bacterial small subunit ribosomal RNA", at positions 28 to 507 of the family's 1533-position model. The record is from RNAcentral.